GAUGAACGCUGGCGGCGUGCUUAACACAUGCAAGUCGAACGGUGAAGCAGAGCUUGCUCUGUGGAUCAGUGGCGAACGGGUGAGUAACACGUGAGCAACCUGCCCCUGACUCUGGGAUAAGCGCUGGAAACGGCGUCUAAUACUGGAUAUGAGCUGCGACCGCAUGGUCAGCAGUUGGAAAGAUUUUUCGGUCUGGGAUAGGCUCACGGCCUAUCAGCUUGUCGGUGAGGUAAUGGCUCACCAAGGCGUCGACGGGUAGCCGGCCUGAGAGGGUGACCGGCCACACUGGGACUGAGACACGGCCCAGACUCCUACGGGAGGCAGCAGUGGGGAAUAUUGCACAAUGGGCGAAAGCCUGAUGCAGCAACGCCGCGUGAGGGAUGACGGCCUUCGGGUUGUAAACCUCUUUUAGCAGGGAAGAAGCGAAAGUGACGGUACCUGCAGAAAAAGCGCCGGCUAACUACGUG
Molecule: ribosomal RNA, 467 nt
Filed under: uncultured bacterium
Lineage: Bacteria
Description: partial 16S ribosomal RNA
Rfam family: Bacterial small subunit ribosomal RNA
Source: RNAcentral